ACUACAGGGCUUUUUAGCUAAAGUUGCCCAUUAAAAAUUUCCAGCUUUCCUAUUAACUACAGUAUGUCUUUGCGAUUAAUUACAGCAUGUGGCAGCAAUAUACACUAUGAUACAUAUAUUUUUCAGAAAGGAAAAGAAGCCAGAUGAUCCAGCAGAGCAGUGCAGUCACGUCCCCAGCAAGCACCACUGCUCAAGACCAUCUGCCUUGGCAGAGUAUUAAGGACCAUCACUCAAGAGUGAGACAGUGGCUAAGCAAAAUCUUUUGGUUAUGAAUCCUACAAGAGCAAAGCAAACUUUUCAAGCUAAUAUUUGAAAUAACUUUACAGAUAAAGAAUAAGAGGCAACAAGAACAUAUUAGCAUUUCUUUGAUAUGUAUUUGCCGAAUGAAUAAUUUUUCUUCAUGCUUCUUUAAAAAGGACUGUGAUUACCACAUCCCAUUUUCAUAUUCAAAAAAAGUGAAGCAUGGAAACUUUCCUUUGGAGUACUGAAAUGAAGCAUUAAUACUUACAAGGCUGUUUUCCUAAUUUUCUUGAAAAAUAUUUAUAAUAAGUAGCAGUUUUUCUCAAAAGAAAAUAAGUUCCUUAUCCAUUCACUGAGAAAUUAUCACACCAAGGAGAGUCUUUUUUCAAGCAAACCUCCCACAUCAGCCACUGAAGCAGCUAAAACCUGCACUCCUUUUCAGCAGCCCAGCUCACUCAUUCCUCCCAGCUGAGGAAAGCUGUGUGCACUGGGCUAGGGAGUUCAGUGUAUUUUUCAGUGUGAGCAUUUAUUUUCUGGUCUGUGCAAUUCUAACCUGUCUGCUCUCACGAACAUUAUGGGACUCUGACAAUUUCUAAUGAUGACAAAGUAAUUCAGCACUGUCUGUGUUUAUUCCUCCAGGAAUACGCUGCUUUAGCAGAAGCACAUUUGCAAUGUGCAUGACCCCUGCUCUCCUUCAUAAAUCUUUCUGACAAAACGAAGAGCCGGGGUAGCAUUUGGAAUGGGAGCAGUAUCAACUGCUGCAUCUUCCUGCUUUAGGACCUGUGUUUGGGACCAUGAAGAAGGUGAUGUGCCAGCAUUCCAACUUGAUACUUGAGGCUGUUUCGACACUGUGGGACCCAUCCUCCAGUUCCACAAAGCAGGCUGAGCAGAAGGGUGUGAGAGCAAAUUCCCCAAACUUGGCGUACAUAGAUCAUGGACAAAAGAUUGCAAAACAUCUACAACAGGUACAAUGGUGGUCUGCAAAGCAGGGAGUGACAACCCCAGGUUGGGCAGAGAAGGCAGGAAAUAUAACCCAUGGUUUCCUUAGAAAAACCCCAUUGGGAGCUAGACAUCAAAGCUGGCUGUCUAUUCAGGCUUGCAGGCAGAACCCACUCCCAGACUGUUCGCUGCAUUGCGCCCAUGUGGAGCAUCUGAUGUGUACAAAAUGGAAGCCUUAUUCUGAGUUCUGAACUUGAUCUGUAAGUCUGCAGUUAAGAUCUUUCUUUUACAGACAAAGGAAAUCUUUCCUGAAAUUUGUUGGAUUUGCUUCACAGUAAAGUGGUUUUCAUCUAAGAUGUCUUUGUGUGUUGACAACCUUGUCUGAAGGUUAUUUCAUUGUAUUCUCCUUGAUCAAGUGCUAUUCACAAUACAGUGGAUGUCAUGACCCAGUAAUCCCAUUUAAUAAAAUUCAAUGUCUCCUGACUAGCUA
This is a long non-coding RNA of Corvus hawaiiensis (hawaiian crow), 1669 nucleotides long. RefSeq lists it as uncharacterized. The transcript has 3 exons. Lineage: Eukaryota; Metazoa; Chordata; Aves; Passeriformes; Corvidae. The record is from RefSeq and is a predicted model, not a curated record.